RNAcentral lists this ribosomal RNA (497 nucleotides) under uncultured bacterium. RNAcentral describes it as "partial 16S ribosomal RNA". It matches the Rfam family "Bacterial small subunit ribosomal RNA", at positions 28 to 507 of the family's 1533-position model. The record is from RNAcentral.
GAUGAACGCUGGCGGCGUGCCUAAUACAUGCAAGUCGAGCGAACGGACGAGAAGCUUGCUUCUCUGAUGUUAGCGGCGGACGGGUGAGUAACACGUGGAUAACCUACCUAUAAGACUGGGAUAACUUCGGGAAACCGGAGCUAAUACCGGAUAAUAUUUUGAACCGCAUGGUUCAGAAGUGAAAGACGGUCUUGCUGUCACUUAUAGAUGGAUCCGCGCUGCAUUAGCUAGUUGGUAAGGUAACGGCUUACCAAGGCAACGAUGCAUAGCCGACCUGAGAGGGUGAUCGGCCACACUGGAACUGAGACACGGUCCAGACUCCUACGGGAGGCAGCAGUAGGGAAUCUUCCGCAAUGGGCGAAAGCCUGACGGAGCAACGCCGCGUGAGUGAUGAAGGUCUUCGGAUCGUAAAACUCUGUUAUUAGGGAAGAACAUAUGUGUAAGUAACUGUGCACAUCUUGACGGUACCUAAUCAGAAAGCCACGGCUAACUACGUG